GUAGUUGGGUAAGCAACACGUAUCACCUUUAAACCCUUGCGUGUACAGCUAGUGAUAGAUAUCCUAAACCCACUUAAUAGUACUCUAUCAGAUAAGCACAUACACCCCAGGAAACAAAACACAGGCAGAGGCGGUUGUCUAAUUACACAAAAGAAAGAGGAAGCCAGGGUUUUGGGCUUAAAUUCAAUCGAGUGUUUGAGAUUCAAGAGUUGUUCGUGACUCCAAGCUUUAAAGCAAGUGACAGUAGAGUUCAGCAAAGCCAGACCUAGGUAUGCCGAGGAUGCGCCUCACUGCUCGUAAGAGGGUCCCGCUUAACCAUCCACAGAUCUUUCGGUUCAAUCUUCCUGCUCAGGUAGGAAGAAUCCAGAGUAUACAUAGCACUUUUGGUAGUAUGUAAUAAAAUUUGAACUAGUCAUAAAACUUAUUUAGACUUUUGGAGGGUUUGUGUGGUUUACUGUAAAAGCUACUCUAGGCAGGUGUGUAGUGUGUAAUCACCUUAUGGUUUUAUUAGUGCUUGUUUCAUAUCAUAAAUUGUGUACGAUCCAGUAGCAUGCAGGGGUCAUAUUAUUGUUUUAUAAUAUUAGCAUUUCAUUC
This is a long non-coding RNA of Daucus carota subsp. sativus, 594 nucleotides long. RefSeq lists it as uncharacterized. NCBI's taxonomy places the organism in Eukaryota, Viridiplantae, Streptophyta, Magnoliopsida, Apiales, Apiaceae. The record is from RefSeq and is a predicted model, not a curated record. The transcript is spliced from 3 exons.